GCGCGAAAACUUUGCAAUGCGGGAAACCGUGACAAGGGAACUCUGAGUGCCCGUUAAAUCGGGCUGUCCAUCGGUUUAAAUAACCGGUGAAGAAAGGGCCGGGCAAGACCGGUGCCAGCCGCCGCGGUAAUACCGGCGGCUCGAGUGGUGGCCACUAUUACUGGGCUUAAAGCGUUCGUAGCUGGUUUGUUAAGUCUCUGGGGAAAUCUUCCGGCUUAACCGGAAGGCGUUUCAGGGAUACUGGCAGACUAGGGACCGGGAGAGGUGAGAGGUACUCCAGGGGUAGGAGUGAAAUCCUGUAAUCCUUGGGGGACCACCUGUGGCGAAGGCGUCUCACCAGAACGGCUCCGACAGUGAGGGACGAAAGCUGGGGGAGCAAACCGGGAUUAGAGACCCCGG
Molecule: ribosomal RNA, 399 nt
Filed under: uncultured bacterium
Lineage: Bacteria
Description: bacterial SSU rRNA
Rfam family: Archaeal small subunit ribosomal RNA
Source: RNAcentral